Molecule: ribosomal RNA, 478 nt
Filed under: uncultured bacterium
Lineage: Bacteria
Description: partial 16S ribosomal RNA
Rfam family: Bacterial small subunit ribosomal RNA
Source: RNAcentral
GAUGAACGCUGGCGGCGUGCUUAACACAUGCAAGUCGAACGGGAAUUCUUUUAUUGAAACUUCGGUCGAUUUAAUUUAAUUCUAGUGGCGGGCGGGUGAGUAACGCGUGGGUAACCUGCCUUAUACAGGGGGAUAACAGUCAGAAAUGGCUGCUAAUACCGCAUAAGCGCACAGAGCUGCAUGGCUCAGUGUGAAAAACUCCGGUGGUAUAAGAUGGACCCGCGUUGGAUUAGCUGGUUGGUGGGGUAACGGCCCACCAAGGCGACGAUCCAUAGCCGGCCUGAGAGGGUGAACGGCCACAUUGGGACUGAGACACGGCCCAGACUCCUACGGGAGGCAGCAGUGGGGAAUAUUGCACAAUGGGGGAAACCCUGAUGCAGCGACGCCGCGUGAAGGAAGAAGUAUCUCGGUAUGUAAACUUCUAUCAGCAGGGAAGAUAGUGACGGUACCUGACUAAGAAGCCCCGGCUAACUACGUG